This 460-nucleotide ribosomal RNA is filed under the name uncultured bacterium. RNAcentral describes it as "partial 16S ribosomal RNA". It matches the Rfam family "Bacterial small subunit ribosomal RNA", at positions 338 to 795 of the family's 1533-position model. The record is from RNAcentral.
CCUACGGGAGGCAGCAGUGAGGAAUAUUGGUCAAUGGACGAGAGUCUGAACCAGCCAAGUAGCGUGAAGGAUGACUGCCCUAUGGGUUGUAAACUUCUUUUAUAAAGGAAUAAAACGAGGCACGUGUGCCUUUUUGCAUGUACUUUAUGAAUAAGGAUCGGCUAACUCCGUGCCAGCAGCCGCGGUAAUACGGAGGAUCCGAGCGUUAUCCGGAUUUAUUGGGUUUAAAGGGAGCGUAGAUGGGUUGUUAAGUCAGUUGUGAAAGUUUGCGGCUCAACCUUAAAAUUGCAAUUGAUACUGGCAGUCGUGAGUACAGUUGAGGUAGGCGGAAUUCGUGGUGUAGCGGUGAAAUGCUUAGAUAUCACGAAGAACCCCGAUUGCGAAGGCAGCUUACUAAACUGUGACUGACAUUGAUGCUCGAAAGUGUGGGUAUCAAACAGGAUUAGAUACCCGAGUAGUC